AUAAAAUUUUGGUAAUAAUAAUUUUUAAAAAAAAUUGUGAAUUAACUAACCUUUCAGGUUCUAGAGUAAUUUAUUAAUCCAAAUUUCCUUGAAGCAUAUUCCCAUGCAAGUCAAGUUGAGGGACUUGAUGGAGGCCAUUUCUGAAAUAGAGUCAGGAGAAGUUAUUUCCAGCCAACGAGAGAUUCUGCAAGCUCCCUAAUUUACCAAUUCCCAAUGGCAAAGGAUGAGGAAAAGAGUUUAUAAGAGAUAUCCAACAAUUCAAGGCUUUUGAAAUCAGCAAUGUUGUCAGGUAGUGUUCCUCAUAUGGAAUUGUUGGACAAGGAGGGUUUCACUACUGACAAACUGCUACCUCAGUUGGAGAAUGUUGUGCAAGUGUUAAUGCAAAGGACAAUACCGAAAUGCAUGAAAAGAUCAUCAUCUCAUAACAGACUCUUUCACAUACGACCGACCACCUCAACUGCAAUGGCAUAUUUUGGUGAACGAAAUUGUUCUGACUCACGUAGAUUCAAGGGAAGAAGAUAGAAGCUGGUUUUCAAGGACCAGGGCCUCCACGGAGAGAAGAAUGAGAAGAAUAAGGGAAGGAACAAUUGUUUAUUCCAUUGAUUGAUGUUGUUAUUACAUAGUAUUAUUUAUACUGAUUUCUCAAUAAUCGAAUUUAUCUUUUUGUGCUACAGAAUAUCAGGAAAUGGUUAAGUUUGUCUAUUCCUACCCGACCAGCAUCAUUCUUCCAGAUAUGAUGCACCUGCUUGUUUCACACCUAAUCCUUGAGGUAAGUGAGCCUCGUAAUUGCUGUCUUGGUCUUGUUUUCUAAUUGCACCCCCUUGCUUCUGUUGCUUGCUUGCUGCAAGUUCCCACUGAUUCAAAUUCCAACAGUUCUGCAAAUAAAAUUGAAGAAGAAGCUAGAGGUGGGAAAUACUCAAGUCAUUCUCUUGAAAAAGUUGCUGCAAUGAUAUGCAACAAAAUAUUAAUUAGUGUUCACAUGAACAUUUCUCCCAUGAAAAUAUAUAUUUUCUGACUUUGUAAUCUCUUUAUAGUAUGCAUGGAAAAUUAAUUUUCUGAUUU
This is a long non-coding RNA of Glycine soja, 1062 nucleotides long. RefSeq lists it as uncharacterized. The transcript is spliced from 2 exons. The record is from RefSeq and is a predicted model, not a curated record. Lineage: Eukaryota; Viridiplantae; Streptophyta; Magnoliopsida; Fabales; Fabaceae.